This is a long non-coding RNA of Zophobas morio, 931 nucleotides long. RefSeq lists it as uncharacterized. The transcript has 3 exons. The record is from RefSeq and is a predicted model, not a curated record. Lineage: Eukaryota; Metazoa; Arthropoda; Insecta; Coleoptera; Tenebrionidae.
ACCAGCUUGGUUCGGUCCGUUUCAAUUCAGUUUUGAAAAUUGCUCAUGACAACCGUAAUGAAAUCGCCGUGCACCAUUUUUGAUGCGCUACUCCAUGAUGAGAAGGUACUGUUGCUUUUGAUUCUUCGUUUUUGCAAAUACCGAAAUUAGUACGAGAUACGAUGACCUAUUUUAAAGCAUCCAGUUAAAUCGAAAAUAGGUCAAAAAAGGAGUUAACAGCAGUUUGAAGGAGGAAGUUUAGUCGUACAUUACAAAUACGAAGGAUAUUAUUUGAAAUCGACGUGGGCACAAUCGUAAAGAAGAGUUAGAUAGAAUGAAAAAUGGAUCAAGGUAGAAUGAUGAGAUAGAAUGAAUCCACAAGAUGAAGGGUGACAACAUAGAAUGAAGAAACAGAUGAAGACACAGGAGUAAGAGACGAAGAAAUUGAAGAGAAAGAAUGAAGAGAUAGAAUAACGCCACAAGAUGAAAAGAUAGUAGGAAAUAUGAUGAAGACAUACUUAGAAGGAAGAAUUGAUGAAAAUCGUGUCUUCAUCUAUCUCUUCAUUUUGUAAAGAGAUGGAUGAAGGCAGAAUGAAGAAUAGAACGAAAUAAGGUUGAAGACGUACAAUUAAGGAAAUAGAUGAAGAUCCUGUCUUCAUUGUAUGUCUUCAUUUAUUUCUUCAUUCCAUCAUCUAUAAUUUUCCAUCUAUAUUAUCCUUCAUCUAUAUUUUUCCCCCUUCUAUAAUUUCGAUCUAUAUCUUCCUCCAUCUAUUAUUCCCCCUCCCCUUCUAUAUCUUUCAUCCAUUUCUCCCUUCAUCUAUAAUUUCCCCCCUUCUACGUCUCCCAUCUAUAUCAUCCUUCAUCUACAAUUUUCCCCCUUUUAUAUUUUCUCUCAUCUAUAAUUUUUCGGCUUUCUAUAUCUUCCUUCAUAUAUAAAUUUCCCUCUUCUGUA